This is a long non-coding RNA of Rosa chinensis, 790 nucleotides long. RefSeq lists it as uncharacterized. The record is from RefSeq and is a predicted model, not a curated record. The transcript is spliced from 4 exons. NCBI's taxonomy places the organism in Eukaryota, Viridiplantae, Streptophyta, Magnoliopsida, Rosales, Rosaceae.
UGGGGAUGAAGAAUGAAGUCGGGUAUGGGGAUGGUAAUUUAAUCCCCUUACCCUACCCUCCCCAUUGCCAUCCCUAAAUGGGAGGACACCAGCCUUGUCACUCCCACCCUCGGCUUCAACAUCAACACCCUCACUUACCAAAAGUAUACACUAAUAUAUGGGAUGUGGGGGGUCAAAAUACAAUACCAUCUUAUUGUGGAGAAACUAUUUUGAACAAACUGAUGGUCGUGUAUACAGUUCAGAUCUUAGAAGAUUAGAUGGCUGUAAAUUGGAGCUCCAUAAUCUUUUAAAGGAGAGAGGUUAUCAGGAUCGUCCUUAUUGAUACUGGCAAAUAAGCAGGACAUAAAAGGUGCCCUUACUCUAGAAGAGAUUUCCAAGGUUUUGAACUUGGAGGCUAUGGAUAAAACUCGACACUGGAAUAUUGUUGGCUGCAGUGCAUACACGGGUGAGGGACUGCUUGAGGGAUUUGAUUGGUUGGUCCAAGAUAUUGCCUCUUUGGAUCUAUGUGGUUGACUAGUGCCUGGUCUCAGUAAUUCUGAUUUUGGUAGUGUGUUGAGUGACUUUGAGUCAUCUUUCAGUGAACACUGGACAAUCAGCCACUAGCAUAUAUGGUAGUUAACUUUCCAGUUUGUGUUACAGUAGUGUGGGUGUGUGUAUGUGUCCGUGUCUUUACACAUAAUGAGUCGUUUCAGGAACGGGCUCAACUGUGAGACUCAUUAUUGACUGAAAAUUGCAACUUUGUACCAUUUUGAAGUUCAAAAUUUGAGUAGAAUCAGCAUUUAUUCUUUUC